This 710-nucleotide ribosomal RNA is filed under the name Pseudomonas mohnii. Its description in RNAcentral is "partial 16S rRNA". Lineage: Bacteria; Pseudomonadati; Pseudomonadota; Gammaproteobacteria; Pseudomonadales; Pseudomonadaceae. The record is from RNAcentral.
UCCAGGUGGUCGCCUUCGCCACUGGUGUUCCUUCCUAUAUCUACGCAUUUCACCGCUACACAGGAAAUUCCACCACCCUCUACCAUACUCUAGCUUGUCAGUUUUGAAUGCAGUUCCCAGGUUGAGCCCGGGGCUUUCACAUCCAACUUAACAAACCACCUACGCGCGCUUUACGCCCAGUAAUUCCGAUUAACGCUUGCACCCUCUGUAUUACCGCGGCUGCUGGCACAGAGUUAGCCGGUGCUUAUUCUGUCGGUAACGUCAAAACAGCAACGUAUUAAGUUACUGCCCUUCCUCCCAACUUAAAGUGCUUUACAAUCCGAAGACCUUCUUCACACACGCGGCAUGGCUGGAUCAGGCUUUCGCCCAUUGUCCAAUAUUCCCCACUGCUGCCUCCCGUAGGAGUCUGGACCGUGUCUCAGUUCCAGUGUGACUGAUCAUCCUCUCAGACCAGUUACGGAUCGUCGCCUUGGUGAGCCAUUACCUCACCAACUAGCUAAUCCGACCUAGGCUCAUCUGAUAGCGCAAGGCCCGAAGGUCCCCUGCUUUCUCCCGUAGGACGUAUGCGGUAUUAGCGUCCCUUUCGAGACGUUGUCCCCCACUACCAGGCAGAUUCCUAGGCAUUACUCACCCGUCCGCCGCUGAAUCAGAGAGCAAGCUCUCUUCAUCCGCUCGACUUGCAUGUGUUAGGCCUGCCGCCAGCGUUCAAU